AAUGUUUUAGUGGCGGACGGGUGAGUAACGCGUGGGCAACCUGCCUUACACCGGGGGAUAACACUUAGAAAUAGGUGCUAAUACCGCAUAACAGGAGAACAUGCAUGUGUUUUCCUUGAAAACCACGGUGGUGUAAGAUGGACCCGCGUCUGAUUAGCUUGUUGGCAGGGUAACGGCCUACCAAGGCGACGAUCAGUAGCCGGCCUGAGAGGGUGGACGGCCACAUUGGGACUGAGACACGGCCCAGACUCCUACGGAAGGCAGCAG
RNAcentral lists this ribosomal RNA (267 nucleotides) under uncultured bacterium. RNAcentral's name for it is "partial 16S ribosomal RNA". It matches the Rfam family "Bacterial small subunit ribosomal RNA", at positions 86 to 354 of the family's 1533-position model. The record is from RNAcentral.